CUGAACUCAAGAUUCCUAAGGAAUAUUCUAAUUUUACUUUCUAUUUGGAAAACUGGAACCAAGUCUGAACACAUUCAAACCAUAAACUCUGAAGGAAGAAAAUCAAAGCCUCUCCCAGAUGCACCUUCACAUUCCCAUCCCCAACCCUCCUAUAAUGCAGCAGACACACAUACUCGUCCACCAGAAAAUUCUUUUUGAGAGUGCUUUAUUCAACAAGAUCUAGGUCAGGUGCUUUAAAACAUAUCAAAAUGUUACAGAAAUUCACAGCUCCCUACUGAGGACUUGUCAAGUUACAUUAAGAUAUCUAAACACAUCAGUUUAUAAAUUCAGAACCAAACAUUGAACCAGGUCAUGUACCAUUGUUUGAAAAGCAAGUUAUGAUUAAGAUAAAAGAUACUUCACAAAGCUAAAUCAAAUGGGGAAACCCUUAAGAAACACUAGCAGUUAUACACCAGAAACCAGCAGCUUGGAAAACAGGUCUGCAAUCUGCUGGGGAGGCUCCACAGGUAAACUGAGCUUCUCCCUUUACAGCUUGUCCAUGUCUAGUGCUUGGCUACAACACCGGGGGAGCCGUAACCUCCCGUGACAGGGUAAAUGCUGUCAAUUCCCUCAGAAAGAAAGGGUGCCACAUUUGUCUAUUUUUACCUCUCUAGAUCAUUUCUCAUCUCAUCUGCCUCCAACAAGAAGACUUUGUGUAAAACAAUUUAAGUAGAGACUUGACUAGAGAAUCUGUACUGCUGCAUCGGUGCUCAAGGAGAUCUCUGCCUCCUACCUAGACCUUCACAUCUUGGUUUGGGUGCUAUGCUGGUGUGUUAAGUUGCUUCAGUCCUAUCCGACUCUGUGCGACCCUUAUGAACCAUAGCCUGCCAGGCUGCUCUGUCCAUGAUUCUCCAGGCAACAAUAUUGGAGUGGGUUGCCAUGCCUUUCUCCAGGGGAUCUUCCUGACCUAGGGAUUGAAUCCGUGUCUCUGAGAUCUCCUGCACCGGCAGGCAGGUUCAUUACUAGUAGGGCCACCUGUGGAAUUCCUUUGUUCAUACAGAAAUUUCUCUUGGAGAUGUACCUAUGGCACCGUGUUCUCUGUCCUACAGAGCUUUGAAACAGUUUUGUUUUUUAAAGAGAGCAUCUCUUUUCUUUGAGAGCUUCUUCCCCUUCUGUAUCCAUCUCUCCUUCCAAUCUCCUAACCCUGAAAUAACUGCCCAAACUCCAAAGAAUUCUGGCCAAGACAUUUUUGCAUCAGAGAACAAGGUUUGUGUUUUGAGUGACUUUUUUAUUUUUUGGUCUUUAUGUCCUAAAGUCUUAUCUACAUAGAUGACAAAAUAUCAUUAUCUGGAGGUCUCUAGGACAGUGUCUUGUUUUGUUUCUGGUAGAAAGGAGAGAAAGGUGAAUUAUAUUAUUCCUUGAAGUCUCAGGCCAAAACCUCAACCUCAGGGCUCAGCAUUUGUCACAGGGAUGGUUAAUCUCAGAUUCUCCCACCUCAGCCUCAACUCAGAGUUAAAAUCCAAAAGCCCGGAGGUCAGUAUGCAUUCCUCACCAGUUUGCACAGUCAAGCCUAUUUUGUGCUUUUCAGUUCUUCCUGAAGGUAACCCCUCCCCCUCCCCCUCCAAUUUAACUCCUCACAUUCUCACUAAUGUGAUUACUAAGAAUGUUACCUUGUGCUUAAUUCCAACAUCACCUGGGGGACUGGAUCCCCUUAUUACCAAUCAGAUAAACUCAAGUUUUUCCUUCAUUUGAUCACCUUAUAACAUAAGCUCCAGGAAACAGAUUAAGUCGGAUGAGGCUAUGUCGCUUUUCACAAGUGAGGGAAAAAACCUAUAAAUUGGCCUUUUGUUCAUCACACGGUUUCAGGUUCAUUGCACACACUUACAUAAAUGCACACAAAUCUGCCCAGGAGUUCAAAGCUGCAAGGCCAUGUGAUACCAGUGAGAAAAUACAGCUCUGCAUCACAGCAGUGCCUCUGUUUCAAAGAAUCUUUCCAAAAUUCCUGACUGGGUUAUUAGUACAUGAGAAAUGAUUUCUAAACAGGGCGAGCCAAAAUGGAAAAGUGGGGUCUGCAUUAAGUGGAAUGUUAUCAUGUAAGAGAUUUCCCUUAAUUCCACCCAAUCCCCAAUCUUUAAAAAAAAUCAAGCCUACCCCAGAAUCACUUUCUCAGAAAGUGACCUGGCAAACUGACAUUUGGCAACAUUUCCAUGUUUAACACUAUCAUAAUGUUAGUGCAAAUUAAAGAGAACUUUGAUAAACCAAAACAGCUGUCCAAUAAAAGUUAGUCAUUAGUAAUUUACGUUGUGGAAAAAUUUUUCCCAAGCCAUUCAAAGAAGAUUAUUGGGGCCAACAAAGGCUUUGAACGUUCAAAAUAAAAAUAACCAGAAAAAAAGUUUUCCAAGUCAUUUCUCAAAUGCAAAAUUCAGGAAGUAUGUUUACAUUCACAAAACUGUUCUUUCCCAUCUAUAACAGAGGAAGCCUCUCCCUGGGCCCCUAUUAUUUUCUGUGCAUUUUGCAGAAGCCCACUGAGGAGGCUAAGGCCCUCCUGAAUUCCAGUCCACCCUGCACAAGGCUGGUGGAUAUCCCCACAGAGGCAGUAAGCUUGCUAAGAGACCCCUAGCAAAAUGACAGGUGGCAGCAUACCAUCUUCUUGAAAGUCAACAAUGAAACCACAGCUGUAAGCCAUCUAAAGAGGUCUUUCUUGGAAGCCACAGUGGCAGAUGGGGGCAAGGGUGCCCAGGGCAGGAAGAACUCUGCUGCAAAGGUCCACUUUCCUUGCAGGCACAGAUCAGUGGCUCUUCUUUCCUCAACUGCCCAGCUCUCCAAAUCUUCAGAGAGGAGGUAGAGGAGAGAUGGAGAGUUCUACCCCAACAAGGCUCAGACUCCUGCUGUUAGGAGCUUCUGGCCCUGCUUGGUUGACCUCCACAGCCAGCACCCUGUUCCAACCAUCCAUCUAACCCUCUUCAAACAGUAUCAGCUGUACUGGGGCUGAGCUACUUGUCAAUCUUCCCAAUGGGGGCUCCAAGGGACAGACUCUUCUUGCCCUUUCCCCUCCACUGGAGUCUCUAAAGAUCACCCAGGUAGCUGCUCAGAGAAGCUGAGAGAGAAGCUCCAUCCUAACUAUGCACCAUCACAGGGCAGUCCAAAAGGCAUCUCUGAACCCCAUACUUGGUAAAUAGCAGAAGUCUUCAUUCCUAAGAGUCCAUUUCCACAUACAAGGUGAGAGCAACUUGCAAGAAUAUAGUGGCUGGAAAGUUUAAAGGCUUGACUUCAAACAUAGGACUUCAGCUCCAAGUGCAGGAAGACUCCUCGAUUAUGUGCAAAUGGAC
Long non-coding RNA from Bos taurus (domestic cattle), 3308 nucleotides. Lineage: Eukaryota; Metazoa; Chordata; Mammalia; Artiodactyla; Bovidae. The record is from Ensembl.